Molecule: ribosomal RNA, 253 nt
Filed under: uncultured bacterium
Lineage: Bacteria
Description: partial 16S ribosomal RNA
Rfam family: Bacterial small subunit ribosomal RNA
Source: RNAcentral
UACGUAGGGUGCAAGCGUUGCCCGGAAUUAUUGGGCGUAAAGAGCUCGUAGGCGGUUUGUCGCGUCUGCCGUGAAAGUCCGGGGCUCAACUCCGGAUCUGCGGUGGGUACGGGCAGACUAGAGUGAUGUAGGGGAGACUGAAAUUCCUGGUGUAGCGGUGAAAUGCGCAGAUAUCAGGAGGAACACCAAUUGCGAAGGCAGCUCGCUGGGACGUAACUGACGCUGAGACGCGAAAGCGUGGGGAGCAAACAGG